AGUGAACGCUGGCGGUAGGCCUAACACAUGCAAGUCGAACGGCAGCACAGUAAGAGCUUGCUCUUACGGGUGGCGAGUGGCGGACGGGUGAGGAAUACAUCGGAAUCUACUUUUUCGUGGGGGAUAACGUAGGGAAACUUACGCUAAUACCGCAUACGACCUACGGGUGAAAGCAGGGGAUCUUCGGACCUUUCGCGAUUGAAUGAGCCGAUGUCGGAUUAGCUAGUUGGCGGGGUAAAGGCCCACCAAGGCGACGAUCCGUAGCUGGUCUGAGAGGAUGGUCGGCCACACUGAAAGUAGAAAACGGACAGAACUCCAAGGGGGGGAGGGGGUGGGAAAUUUUGGAAAAGGGGCGAAGGCCUAAUCCACACCUCCCGGGGGGGGAAAAAGGGCCUUGGGGUUGAAAACCCCUUUUGUUGGGAAAAAAAAGCGGGGAAUUAAGCCCCCGCUUUUCGGAGGGACCCAAAAAGAAAAGCACGGCUAAAUUUGGU
This 491-nucleotide ribosomal RNA is filed under the name uncultured bacterium. RNAcentral's name for it is "partial 16S ribosomal RNA". It matches the Rfam family "Bacterial small subunit ribosomal RNA", at positions 29 to 507 of the family's 1533-position model. The record is from RNAcentral.